AAUGUGGCUCGUGUGUUGGCUUUAAAACUAGAACCUUUCUUACUGCCUCCAACGACGAAAAAUUUUGCAAUCACUCAAAUACAGAAAUAUAU
Molecule: non-coding RNA, 92 nt
Organism: Plutella xylostella (diamondback moth)
Lineage: Eukaryota; Metazoa; Arthropoda; Insecta; Lepidoptera; Plutellidae
Source: RefSeq, a predicted model, not a curated record